ACUGAGGCAAAAAUUGGAAGACAGCCAUGAGCCAAGCACUACCCGGAGGAGCCACAGGAAGCUAGGAGAGAGGCCUGGCAUGGAUUCUUCCUUAGGGCCUCCGGAUGCUGUCAACCCCUUAACUUCAUACUUCUGGUCUUCAAAACUGAGGAAGAAAUUUAAUUUCUGAACUACUGAGCUACAGUUCACAAGUGGAAGGGAUUCCUUGGUGGUACAAACAAGUCUUGGUAGGAAUGUGACCUUCAGACAUCACGCUCCUCAGCAAUCACCUUGGGGGGUGGCAGCAUCUGCACCACCAUCACUGCUGGACUACAGUUUUGGAGCCCUCAUUCACAUUGAGAGGUGUACAGCAUAGUGAAACACAACAAAGG
Capra hircus (goat) is the source of this 371-nucleotide long non-coding RNA. RefSeq lists it as uncharacterized. The record is from RefSeq and is a predicted model, not a curated record. The transcript is spliced from 4 exons. Lineage: Eukaryota; Metazoa; Chordata; Mammalia; Artiodactyla; Bovidae.